This 83-nucleotide ribosomal RNA is filed under the name Klebsiella pneumoniae. The record is from RNAcentral. Lineage: Bacteria; Pseudomonadati; Pseudomonadota; Gammaproteobacteria; Enterobacterales; Enterobacteriaceae.
GACCCCAUGCCGAACUCAGAAGUGAAACGCCGUAGCGCCGAUGGUAGUGUGGGGUCUCCCCAUGUGAGAGUAGGGAACUGCCA